AGAGAGAUGCAUUGCUUCUCUUGAGAGCGGCGGACGGGUGAGUAAUGCCUAGGAAUCUGCCUGGUAGUGGGGGAUAACGUUCGGAAACGGACGCUAAUACCGCAUACGUCCUACGGGAGAAAGCAGGGGACCUUCGGGCCUUGCGCUAUCAGAUGAGCCUAGGUCGGAUUAGCUAGUUGGUGGGGUAAUGGCUCACCAAGGCGACGAUCCGUAACUGGUCUGAGAGGAUGAUCAGUCACACUGGAACUGAGACACGGUCCAGACUCCUACGGGAGGCAGCAGUGGGGAAUAUUGGACAAUGGGCGAAAGCCUGAUCCAGCCAUGCCGCGUGUGUGAAGAAGGUCUUCGGAUUGUAAAGCACUUUAAGUUGGGAGGAAGGGUUGUUAAUUAAUACUCGGUGGUUUUGACGUUACCGACAGAAUAAGCACCGGCUAACUCUGUGCCAGCAGCCGCGGUAAUACAGAGGGUGCAAGCGUUAAUCGGAAUUACUGGGCGUAAAGCGCGCGUAGGUGGUUUGUUAAGUUGGAUGUGAAAUCCCCGGGCUCAACCUGGGAACUGCAUUCAAAACUGACUGACUAGAGUAUGGUAGAGGGUGGGUGGAAUUUUCUGUGUAGCGGUGAAAUGCGUAGAUAUAGGAAGGAACACCAGUGGCGAAGGCGACCACCUGGACUGAUACUGACACUGAGGUGCGAAAGCGUGGGGGAGCAAACAGGAUUAGAUUCCCCGGUAAUCCACGCCCUAAACCAAGUUCACUUACCCUUUGGAACCCUUAACUUUUAAUUGCCCCACUUAACCCAUAAGUUUAACCGCCUGGGGAAUUACGGCCCCAAGGUUAAAACUCAAAUGGAUUUGACGGGGGCCCGGCACCAACCGGUGGAACCAGGUGGUUUUAUUUCGAAAUCAACCGCGAAAAACCUUUACCCAGGCCUUGACAUUCCAAUGAAACUUUCU
Molecule: ribosomal RNA, 951 nt
Filed under: Pseudomonadaceae bacterium
Lineage: Bacteria; Pseudomonadati; Pseudomonadota; Gammaproteobacteria; Pseudomonadales; Pseudomonadaceae
Description: bacterial SSU rRNA
Rfam family: Bacterial small subunit ribosomal RNA
Source: RNAcentral